This 423-nucleotide ribosomal RNA is filed under the name uncultured prokaryote. RNAcentral describes it as "bacterial SSU rRNA". It matches the Rfam family "Bacterial small subunit ribosomal RNA", at positions 355 to 796 of the family's 1533-position model. The record is from RNAcentral.
CAACGAAUAUUCCGCAAUGAGCGCAAGCUUGACGGAGCAAUGCCGCGUGAAGGAUGAAGCGCUUCGGCGUGUAAACUUCUGUCAGGUUCCAGGACAUCCGACCAGAACCAAAGGAAGGGCCGGCUAACUUCGUGCCAGCAGCCGCGGUAAUACGAAGGGCCCGAGCGUUAAUCGGAAUCACUGGGCUUAAAGGGAGCGUAGGCCGAUCUGUAAGUGCGUUGUGAAAGCCCGGGGCUCAACCCCGGAAUUGCUUCGCAGACUGCAGGUCUUGAGGUCGGUAGAGGUCGUCGGAACUGUAGGUGGAGCGGUGAAAUGCGUAGAUAUCUACAGGAACGCCAAAGGUGAAGACAGACGACUGGGCCGAUUCUGACGCUGAGGCUCGAAAGCGUGGGUAGCGAACAGGAUUAGAUACCCCCGUAGUCC